AGUGAACGCUGGCGGUAGGCCUAACACAUGCAAGUCGAACGGCAGCACAGUAAGAGCUUGCUCUUACGGGUGGCGAGUGGCGGACGGGUGAGGAAUACAUCGGAAUCUACUUUUUCGUGGGGGAUAACGUAGGGAAACUUACGCUAAUACCGCAUACGACCUACGGGUGAAAGCAGGGGAUCUUCGGACCUUGCGCGAUUGAAUGAGCCGAUGUCGGAUUAGCUAGUUGGCGGGGUAAAGGCCCACCAAGGCGACGAUCCGUAGCUGGUCUGAGAGGAUGAUCAGCCACACUGGAAGGGAGACACGGUCCAGACGCCUACGGGAGGCAGCAGUGGGGAAUAUUGGACAAUGGGCGCAAGCCUGAUGCAGCCAGACCGCGUGGGUGAAGAAGGCAUUCGGGUUGUAAAGCCCUUUUGUUGGGAAAGAAAAGCAGCAGGUGAAUACAACGCUGUUAUGACGGUACCAAAAGAAUAAGCACCGGCUAACUUCGUG
RNAcentral lists this ribosomal RNA (492 nucleotides) under uncultured bacterium. RNAcentral's name for it is "partial 16S ribosomal RNA". It matches the Rfam family "Bacterial small subunit ribosomal RNA", at positions 29 to 507 of the family's 1533-position model. The record is from RNAcentral.